AUUGAACGCUGGCGGCAUGCUUUACACAUGCAAGUCGAACGGUAACGGGGACUUCGGUCUGCCGACGAGUGGCGAACGGGUGAGUAAUAUAUCGGAACGUGCCCAGUAAUGGGGGAUAGCUACGGCGAAAGCCGGAUUAAUACCGCAUACGCCCUGAGGGGGAAAGUGGGGGAUCUUCGGACCUCACGUUAUUGGAGCGGCCGAUAUCAGAUUAGCUAGUUGGUGGGGUAAAGGCCUACCAAGGCGACGAUCUGUAGCUGGUCUGAGAGGAUGAUCAGCCACACUGGGACUGAGACACGGCCCAGACUCCUACGGGAGGCAGCAGUGGGAAUUUUGGACAAUGGGCGAAAGCCUGAGUCCAGCCAUGCCGCGUGUGUGAGAA
This 382-nucleotide ribosomal RNA is filed under the name uncultured bacterium. Its description in RNAcentral is "bacterial SSU rRNA". It matches the Rfam family "Bacterial small subunit ribosomal RNA", at positions 30 to 411 of the family's 1533-position model. The record is from RNAcentral.